Molecule: long non-coding RNA, 374 nt
Organism: Talpa occidentalis (Iberian mole)
Lineage: Eukaryota; Metazoa; Chordata; Mammalia; Eulipotyphla; Talpidae
Exons: 3
Source: RefSeq, a predicted model, not a curated record
UCCCUUCUGCUGUUAGGAGGGAGGCGUCGGGAGGGGUGUCGCAGGAAGCAGCUCCCUAUAUUAUUAUGGGGUUCGAGGUAGAAACCUAGGCAUUGUCAGCUUCGUGGGUCUUGCCGGCCUGGGUGUCUUGUCUGGAUGCUGUGACUGACCCGGCCGGCCCACUAAGCGCAAGGCUAGACACUCACAUAUUUGUGGAAGGCAGAAGAGGGCUAUGUACCAGAUAUCCCAACAGUAACAUCUUGUAAUAUGAUAAUACAACAACCAGGAUUUUGUCAAGUUCUAGAACAUUUCUAUCAGCGAUCCAAGGAGCCAAGAUUACUCAGGUUGCCUUUUUCUAACCACACCCACUUUUCCUCCAAUAAACCUUUCUUAAA